GAUAGAGAUAAACUGUAAACAGCAAUAAUGUUCAGCAAAGUAAGAUUUACAAAUAAGUCAACAUUACCAAAAUGGUCAGUUGACCCCUUUAGGAGUUAUUGCCCUUUAUAGUAAAUUUUUAACCAUUUUUUGUAAAUCUUAGUAAUCUUUUAGAAAAAUCUUCUCCUCUGAAACUACUGGGCCAAAUUAAACCAAACUUGGCCACAAUCAUCAUUGGGGUAUUUAGUUUAAAAAAUGUGUGGCGUGACCCGGCCAACCAACCAAUAUGGCCGCCAUGGCUAAAA
RNAcentral lists this long non-coding RNA (284 nucleotides) under Mytilus galloprovincialis (Mediterranean mussel). Lineage: Eukaryota; Metazoa; Mollusca; Bivalvia; Mytilida; Mytilidae. The record is from RNAcentral.